UACGGAGGGUGCGAGCGUUGUCCGGAUUCAUUGGGCGUAAAGGGCGCGUAGGCGGCGGGGUCAGUCGGGUGUGAAAUCUUGGGGCUUAACCCCGAAACGGCACUCGAAACUGCCCGGCUGGAGGGCCGGAGAGGAGAUCGGAAUUCACGGUGUAGCAGUGAAAUGCGUAGAGAUCGUGAGGAAGACCCGUGGCGAAGGCGGAUCUCUGGACGGCUAACUGACGCUGAGGCGCGAAGGCCAGGGGAGCAAACGGG
This 254-nucleotide ribosomal RNA is filed under the name uncultured bacterium. RNAcentral's name for it is "partial 16S ribosomal RNA". It matches the Rfam family "Bacterial small subunit ribosomal RNA", at positions 524 to 776 of the family's 1533-position model. The record is from RNAcentral.